CAUUCCAGAUGUGUUGAGGAUUGGUGACUUGGUAUCUCUCAUUCAUAGGGUCAUAAUAAGUUGAAGUCUUAUGCAGACUCAAAAGGAAAUGGAAGUGCCAAAUUCAAGCGCUGUUCUUUUAUCCUGAUGUGUAUGUAAAUACAGAAGUAGCUUCCUGUUUAAAUUAGAAUUCAGCUCCUCUUGACCCAGCGACACCCAAUCUGGUGUGUCUCUAACCACUUUGCAGUCAAUCCCUUGCAAGUCCACAGAAAGAAAGAAAAAGAUGUUUUGGCUUCAGUUUGCUUUCUUUUUAACCACCUUUAGAGGUAUCCCAUCAGAGGCCCAACUGGUGGAAUCUGGAGGAGGUGUAAGAAGGCCUGGUGAAUCCCUCCAGCUUUCUUGUCUUGCCUCUGGAAUUACUUUCAGCAGCUAUGGAAUGAACUGGGUGAGGCAAGCUCCAGCAAAAGGCUUGGAAUGGGUGGCAUAUAUUAGCUCAAGCUCGGGUACCAUUUACUAUUUGGACCAAGUGAAGGGACGAUUCACAAUCUCCAGAGACAACUCAAAAAAUCUGCUCUAUUUGCAAAUGAACAACCUGAAACCCGAGGACAGUGCCGUUUAUUACUGUGCAAGAGACACAGUGAGCAAAGUGAACCAGAAGCUCUCUAAAAACUCUCUUCUAGCACUAGCAGCUGUCCAAAUUCAUUCAAGUGAACUUGGAGAGCUUCCACUGACCUGCACCAUGGACAUAGCAGACCAAUGGUGGAUGUCUUGGCUUCGACAAAAACCUGGGCAGACUCUCGAGUGGCUGAUCAGCUACUGGAAACCUUCUGUCACCAAUUAUUACUCUCCCACCAUCCGGGGUCACUUCACAGCCUCAAAAGAGGGCUCAGAUUUCUACUUGGAAAUGAAGAACUUGAGGGAAGAGGACACCGCUUUGUAUUACUGCACAAGGAGGGAGGCACUGUGAAUAACUCUACAGCCAAAAGGUCCAGGAAGGAACCACAAGUGCCAUGAUGCCUUUGGACCACCAGGAGGCAUUGAUGGAACAUAACUGUAUUGUAACCUUCAGAUAGAACAUUUCUUCUCUUGAAGAGCAUAUAAUAAUGAGCUUCAGGCUGAUUGCAAUUUAGUCUGACAAAUGUUCUCUCUCCAAAUUUUAAAUGAAAAAAAUCACCUUAUCUUGG
Anolis carolinensis (green anole) is the source of this 1163-nucleotide non-coding RNA. NCBI's taxonomy places the organism in Eukaryota, Metazoa, Chordata, Lepidosauria, Squamata, Anolidae. The record is from the annotation of a RefSeq genome assembly.